AGUGUCAGAGCUUAGGACAGCCACAUGGACGUUCCCGUCCUCUGCCUCAGGAAUGCUGUUCAGGAGGGAACAGAGGGGCUAGGAAGUGAGGGGUUCACUGCUACUUUCUUCAUCUAUUGAACUUCAGCAGUUAAUGCAUUUCUCAGGGUUUUUUUCUAGAGAGAGCUGUUUAUGGGGCACAGUCCUUUGGGAAUGGCCAUCUGAAUGGGGCCUUUCUCUUUAGCGUUAAGUGUUCGGUCUUGUGCACAUUAGGUGGUUGCUGGAAGUGAGCAUGCUUGGCUGGUUGGUGAUUUGGCUACUAGGCCAGCACCAGAGCAAGCUGAUGUCACUCACCUGGUGACGUAAUAUAUCACUGCCAUGUCCUCCUGCAGCUUGCUCACCCUUUCCAGUAUCCUUUUCUUCUUCCUCUUCUCAGACCUGAACAGCCAUUCUCUUCUCUAGGAAAGACUAUCAAAGGAAAUCGAUGGAAUCUCAGGAUUUUUGGGAACCCAGGAUCUGGCUUAUGGCAGAAGCUUCUUGCUUUUUUGUUAGAGACCCUAAGGUUUCUGUAGUAUUUUCCUAGGCUACCAGCAGGUUGGUACUCUACCCGACGGCCCUACCAUCAGGUGGUGGGAACACGGUUAUGACAGGUUCUUGCUAGGCGUCCUGUAGCUAAAUAAUCUUUAGCAGGAAAGGAAGGAUUAGGAAUGGAAGUAGAAUUCACUGUAUUUUUACCCCAAAAGUUUAUGAAAAUUUUCAAAUUUAUAAAAAAUUGGAAGAACAGAUGAUUGUAUAUUCAACAACCAGAUUCAACAGUUUUUAACAUUUCCCACAGAGUUCACCUUAGAGGAUGUGGAAAGUGAGACCUGAGUUAGGAGAAUAACCUUUUGUUGUGAGUCAGUUACCGAGUUGUUUGUGGGCCCCUCUUAACUCCACCAUCAUCAAACCCUGUGUAGGCGCCACACCCUGGGAAUCGAGCAAGACCAACAUGGUCCUUGCAUUCAGUAGCACUGAUGUGUGAGAGUCCUGGGAUGUAAAAGUGAAGCUAUAGCAGCAGCAUCUAACCUGGGGCAGGGGACUUUGUUGUUGUUGGUGGUGGUGGUGGUGGAGGUGGUGGUUGGGGAAGACUUUUUCCAGGAAAUGACAUUUACAUUAAAGUCUGCAAAAUGAGGAACCAAUGUUUCACGCUGAGGGAAAAGCGUGUGUUAAGGUGACCAAGUGAGAGAAGGGACAGUGAGUGUGAGGGCACAGAGGGGGACCAGAGGGAGAUGAGGCGAGAAAGAGACGGGGCCAGCAGCCUGCCACGUUGCACAGUUCCAGGGCUACCAUUCAUAUUGCACUCCUUUGUAUUAACACUUGUCUCUUGGGCAUGUUAACUGGACACCGAGAUUGAGCACUGUCUCCUUGGUGGUUGGUGGUUUGGCUAUUUAGACCAGCACCAGAGCACGGGUGUGUGUGACUCAUCCUCACCGUGCACUCUGUGGGGCCAGGUUCUGAAGGGUGGUGUUCCCAUUAAGGAGUCUGGACUGUGUUCUAAGGCGGUAAGUGCAUUAAAGGAUUUUAAUGAGGGGCAUGUCGUGACUAGGUUUGCUGUUGUGCUGAGGAAAUAGUGGUCGGUAGAAAUGCAUUCGAAUAAGAGGUCUGGGCUGCAGGGCCUGACUAGAGUUUUAAACCUGCCUCUCUGUGAAUUGUUCAAAUUGUCUUAGUUUCCAUUUCACCAUCAGGUACUAUUCUGAUUUGAGAAGGUAUAUAUGGGUUUAUUUUGUAAGGAGAGUAGCCGUUAAUCAGAAAAAUUAGUUGCAGGUGGUAAAAAGCAGGACUUCUUUUUGGUUAGCUAUAUGGUUCUCACUCCCAACUGCACAUUGGAAUUACCUAGAGAGCAUUUAAAAUGCUGAUGUCCAGGCCCAGCCUCAGAGAGUCUAAUGCCAUUAGUCUUAAGUGAAAUUUAGCCAGCCUUACUUUUCAAAGCUCUCCAGGUGAGUUACAUGUAUAGUCAGGAUUGAGAAGCCCUGGACCACCAUCGAGCCCUUGUUUUCUUAUUUAUUUAUGAAACAAAUUUUUAAAUUAAAAUAAAAUUUUAAAAACUAAUAAAAGCAGUUUUGUUUACUAAGUGGCUAUUUUAUGCUUGCCAUUUUACAAAUAGUCUUAAUCUUCAUCAAAUCUCCUUGGAGUCAGUAUUAUUUUCCCCAUUUUACCAAUGAAAAGCUCAGAGAAGGUAAGUGUCUUGCUCAAGGUAACAGCCAAUAUAAGGUGGAGUCAGAUUUUGAGCACAGGUCCACCUGAUUCCCGAGGCUGUGAUUUUAAUUAUGGUUGUUACCUCCCACCACUGUGGUGUUCUGCCGGGUGGAUUUCCUUGAGAAUGGAGAGACUCAUUGUUCUCAUGAUCUGUGCAGUUGCAGUACGUAGAUCUUCUACCCCGUGCAGAGAGUAUAGGAAGUGCACCCCUGCCUCCCAAGAACCUGGAACUACCUCGGAGGCUAAGAUCAGAUGUGUUUGUUAGCAGCAUGGUUUACUGUAUGAUAUGGUAGGUAAAGGUGUCAGCCAUUGUUCCAUGCAUUUUCAAACGUAUUAUUUACUUAUCAAAACAGUACUUUGGGGUGUAUGUAAUUUUUGUCCAUUAUGGGUAAGAAACUAAAGUCCAGAAAGGCCCAAAAAAACAAACACAAAACAAAAACCACAAAACUUGUUAGUGACACACAGGUAAUGGGUUUGUGUUUUUUUUAAAAAAAUAUAUUUUUUAUUUCAGAGAGGAAGGGAGAGGGAGAGAGAGGUAGAAACAGCAAUGAUGAGAGAUAAUUAUUGAUUGGCUGCCUCCUGCAUGCCCCUUAUUGGGGAUCAAGCCUGUAACCUGGGCAUGUGCCCUCACUGGGAAUCGAACCUUGACCUCCUGGUUCAUAAGUCAAUGCUUAACCACUGAGCCACGCCAGCCAGGUCAGGUAGUGGGUUUGAAAUCAGAGACCACAGUCUCAUUAUUUUGAUUUAUUAUUUUGAGCACAUAAGGAUAGAGUGACAAAUAUGGUGCCUUUAAAAACUUGCUAAUGUCAUGUGUAAAGAUGUGCUGGAUGAGGAGGACAAGGAGACUGCAGGAGUGGUUUUGAACAGUUCAUCAAAUUCCUCAAGUUGCUGCAGUGAAAACGUUUCUCUAGUUUCUUGUUACCUUGUCACCAGAGUACACAUGGCCUGUUGUUCCACUCACUUCCUACCACAUUUGUCCACCAGGAAAUACUGGGAAAAUGCUAGCAACCAUUAAUGCACCUGAGAAGGGGUUUAGGCUUGGCUAUCUGCAUCAGAACAGAUUGUCCAAAGCCACAUAAUUUCUCCACCUGUGAUAUAGGGAUUGCAGUGUAGGUAAGUAGGUCAAGAGCUUGUGUAUUUGGGAGUGCAGGAUACUUACUACCUGUGCCAUAUGAGGUUGCCAGGUCAUAAAUCGUUGUUGAAAUAACAGCUGAAGAAAUAGAAAAUCUGGGUAGAUAAGUAAAGAGAUUGAAUUAGUAAUGAACAGUAACUCAGCCCUAGCCGGUUCGGCUCAGUGGAUAGAGCGUCGGCCUGCGGACUGAAGGGUCCUGGGUUCGAUUCCAGUCAAGGGCACAGGUUGCAGGCUCGAUCCCCGGCAGGGGGUGUUCAGGAGGCAGCCGAUCAAUUGUUCUCUCUCAUCAUUGAUAAUUCUAUCUCUCCCUUUCCCUUCCUCUCUGAAAUCAAUAAAAAUAUAUUUUUAAAAAAACCUCACAAAGAAAAGCCAGGACUAGAUGGUUUCACUGAUAAAAUUCUACCAAAUAAUGUAAAGUAGAAUUAAUAUGGAAUUCUUCUCAAACCCUUACAAAAUAUAAAGGGGCACUACCAACUCAUGCUUUGAGUUGGUAUUACCCUGAUACUAACACUACGUUAGGACAUCACAAGAAAACUGCAGACCAAUAUCUUUUAUGAAUACAGAUGUAAACAUUAUCAAUAAAAUACUAGCAAACCAAAUCUAUUAACAUAUGAAAUGGAUUAUGCAUCAUGACUGAGUGUAUUUAUCCUAGGAAUUAAUGUUUGGUUUAAUAUCUGAAAAUUAAUAUGAUAUAUCAUAUUAUAAUAGAAUAAAGGACAAAAAAACAUUUGAUCAUAGCAACAGAUGUAGAAAAAAGUAUUUGACAUGAUAUAAUACCUCUUUGUGAUAUAAAAGCACUCAACAAAUCAGGACUAGAAUGGACUUCCUCAACCUGAUAAGAGGGCAUCUGUGAAGAACCCUCAGAUAAUGUACUUAAUUGUAAAAGACUGAAAUCUUUCCCCCUAAGGUCAGGAACAAGACAAGGAUUCUGUGUUUGCCAAUUGUAUUUAACACAAUUCUGGAAGUUCUAGUCAGGACAGUUAGGUAAGAAAAUAAAAACAUCAAGAUUGGAAAGGUAGAAGGAAAACUAUUUCUAUUAGCAGAUGACAUUAUCUUAUAUAUAGAAAAUUCUAAAAAAUUCACAAAAAGAACUAAUGAAUUCAGCAAGGUUGUAGGAUACAAGAUCAACAUACAAAAAUCAGUUGUAUUUCUAUAUAUUUGCAUUGAACAAUCAGAACAUGAAAGUAAGAAAUUCCAUUUACACUAUCAUCAAAAAGGAAUAAAAUACUUAGACAUAAUUUAACUAGAAACAAAACGCUUAGAAAUAAAUUUAAGAAAACUUAUACUCUGAAAGCUAUGAUAUAUUGUUGAAAAAAUUUAAAGAUCAUCUAAACAAAUGUAAAGACAUUCUGUGUCAUGAAUUGGAAAACUUAGUAUUGUUAAGAUGGUGAUACUCCUCACAUGGAUCUAUAGAUUUGAUGCAGUCCUUGUCUAUCAAAAAUCUAGCUGACUAUGCAGAAAUUGACAAACUAAUCCUAAAAUAAAAAAUUCAAGAGAAUCAGAAUAGGCAAAAUAAUCUUGAUAAAGAAGAGCAAACUUUGGAGGACUCACAGUUAUUGACAGUAUUACAGAUGUCCCCCAUUACCUCCCUUUUUGCCUUCUUCACCCAUGAGCAAUUGAUUUUUGAUAAGGGUGCCAAGACAGUUCAAUGGGGAAAGAAUUGUCUUUUCAACAAAUGGUACUGGGACAACUGGAUUUCCACAGGAAGAAUAAUGAAGUUUUUCCAACCUCACCAUACGCAAAUUUUAACGCAAAAUAGAUCAAAGAACUAAAGGUAAGAGCUAAAACUAUAAAACUCAUAGAAGAAAACAGGAUUAAUUCUUCAGGACCUUGGAUUAGGCAAUGGUUUCUUAGAUAUGAUACCAAAAACAAAAGCCACAAAAGAAAAAAAUAGAUAAAUUAGAAACUUGUACUUCAAAGGAUACCAUCAAGGAAGUGAUAAGACAACCCACAGACUGGGAGAAAAUAAAUGUAAAUUAUAUAUCUAAUAAGGGACUUGUAAUAAUUCUUUAUAUAUUCUAGAUACAACUCAAUAAUGAAAAAGAACCCAAUUAAAAAAUGGCAAAGCAUCUGAAUAGAUAUUGCCCCCAAGAAGAUAAACAGAUUGCCAAUAAACACAUUUAAAGAUGUUCAACAUCUGUAGCCAUUAGGGACAUACAGAUGAAAACCACAGCCCUGAUUGGUGUGGCUCUCUGUUGAGCAUCGUUAUAUGUGCCAAAAAGUUGCGGGUUUGAUUCCUGGUCAAGGCAUAUACCCAGGUUGUGGGUUCAAUCCCCAGUCAGGGUGGAUAUGGGAGGCAUCUGAUUGAUGUUUCUCUCACAUCAAUGUUUCUCCCACUCUCCCUCUCUCAAAAAAUCAAUACAAGCAUUAAAACCCACAGUGAGAUGUUACCUCACACCCACUUGUAUGGCUAAAAUGGAAACGACAUGAUGACAAGUGUUGUUAAGGCUGUGGAGUGAUUGGAACAUUGGAGCCCUCAUGCACUGCUGGUGGGAAUGUAAAUGGAGCAGUUGUUUUGGAAAACAUUUGGGCAGGUCUUCAAAUGGUUAAACAUAGAGUUCACCUAAUCCAGCAAUUCCAUUCCUAGGUGUAUACUCAAGAGAAAUGAAAACAUAUCUACAUAAAAACUUUUACAUAAAUGCCCAUAGGAGCAUUAUGAUCAUAGCCAAAAAAUGAAUACAACUCAAAUAAUGAGUGGAUAAACAAAUAUGAUGUAUCUUUACAGUGGAAUAUCAUUCAGCAUUAAAAAGUGAAGCAUUGAUAUGUGCUCCAAUGUGGAUGGCCCUUGAAGACAUGCUAAGUGAAAGAAGCCAGUCACAAAAGACAUAUUUUAUGAUCCCAUAUGUACCAACUGUCCAGACAGAUUGAUCUAUAGGGACAGAAAGUAGAUGAGUAGUUCUCUGAAGCUGGGCUAGGGUGGGAGUGGGGAGAGUGACUGCUAGUGGGCAAAGGGUUUCUUUUUGGGGCAGUGAAAUGUUCUAAAUUUUAUUGUGGUAAUCGCAAUCUUAACUCUGAAUAUUCUAAAAGCCAUUGAAUUACAGACUUUAAAUAGGUAAAUGGUGAUAUUGCAUGGACUAUAUCUAAGUAUUGCUAUUUUGUUAAAAUUGAUUCAAGCAUGACUUGAUCACCUUUUCUUAGCAUUAUGAAGUCAUCAGCUGACAGUCAUGGUUUCUCAUGACAGCCCAGAUGUUGGUGAGAAGUUGCAGGGAACUCUGGGAAUGGGAGUGUCCUUUUUCAGUUGAAAUCAGUAUGAUGACAAGAGGCCUUCUGGAAGGAGAGCACAGAAGGGCAGCCCUUUGCAUCCUUGGCCUCAUUCUUCCCGAGAGACUUGGGCCUCCCUCCGUGAGGUGAGACGGCGGCUGGGAGAGGGGGGAGAAAGCUCAUGGUCCCUGGUCCAGCCAGCUUGGAAGCGAGUUUGAGGCACUCCCCAUGUUUUAUAAUGUGAUCAUUGUUUUUCCUCCUUUGAAACUGGAAGAAAAUUAAUACUGUGCCAUCCAGGUUAAAAACACAUUCCUUUGCCCUAGCUGGUUUGGCUCAGUGGAUAGAGCAUCAGACUGCGGACUGAAGGGUCCCAGGUUUGAUUCCGGUCAAGGGCACAUGCCCAGGUUGCAGGCUUGAUCCCCAGUUGGGGGCAUACAGGAGGCAGCCAGUCAAUGAUUCUCUCUCAUCAUUGAUAUUUCUAUCUCUCCCUCUCCCUUCCUCUGAAAUCCAUGAAAAUAUAUUUUAAAAAAAUACUCCUCUAUUUUAAACCAACAACACAUUCCCUUGAUGAAGACACCAGUCCCUCUUGGUCUCUUCGUUGUUGGCAGAAAGAAUCUUUACGUAUUAAGGGAACUUCAUCCGUCUUAAAUUCUCUUGUUAUCAUCCAACAUGGAUGUGACUUAGGGGUUUUGUUUUGGUCCCAGGUAAGGUAGUGUUUUUCAAGGUUCUCCUUUGGAGAGUAGGUGUGUGGAGUAUUGGCAGGUUCUGAUGAGAGUAGGCAGUGAGGCUGUUUCAUUGCUGAGAGCUAAUUUUUGAGGGAAGUAGAAAUGUAUGGCUUUCUGCUGGAAUUGAGUGAAGGUGAGAAGAUGGUUAGUUUUUGAGACAGUGAAAGAGGGGGAGAAGAAGGAGAAAAAAGGCAAGAGCCUGCACUUAGCUUUGGGUUAGUUCUUUACUUUAUUUGGGUUUUGGCCCUUUUGAGAAUAUGAUGAAAGAUGCAGUUACACAGGAUUUUGCAUUCAAUUUUAGGAAGUUCAUGAACUCCUCAAAGUAGAACUGUAGACAAGAUCUUCUCAUUAACGAGACAUAUCCACAUACUAUCAGAAUGAUGGGCAGCAGUGAACUGGAGACAUGCGCAUUAGGCAGUGUUCUGAAUCUUGGCAAUUGUAAUCAGGGUAGACGAGUCAUGAACUUCAGUGUUCGGUGUUUGGGCAUACAUCAAGUUUAAUGCUUUCUGGUUUUAGAGCACUAUUGAAGUCCUCAAGUUACAUUAUUUUGGUUCUAGUGGGGUCAUAACUAACAUAAAUGGGAUUAAAAUCAUCCCAUGAGUUUAAAAGAUCAUGGUAAUGUUCACAAAUGUGACAGUCUUCCAGGCAGUUAACUAGCUGGAGUGUCCUCAGUUGAGCUUUAAGACUUGGGGACAGUCCCUGGUAUAGUUGGCAGCAGUUUGGGAGUUUAGGGAGCCGGGGCCUUCUCAUGCUGCCCAAUGAUGUGCGAACUCACUGAUGUCACUCUAUGUAAGAUGGAUGUUGCUGAGUUACCCUGUCACCUUUGUACCAGAUUCCUGCAUAAAGGGCUAGUUAGAUGAAGAUUACUGUAGGACCAGUGACUUACAACGUUUUUAAGCCUGAAAAAUGGCUUCUAUGUGUUCCACCAGUGUCCAAAGGGAGGGACAGACGGAGGUGUGAAGGGAGAUGCUGCAGAAGGGGCAUUUGUUUGAUCAUCUCUUUAUAUUAAAGCUCAUUAUGGAAAAAUCAGAAAAGGCUAAAACAAAAUGUACAAACAACUUUUUAAAAACAAAACAUUGCAUCACAUGAACAUACUGUUGUUUUUUUAAUUUUAAGUUUUUUAGAUAUGUAGAAAAAUGAGAAGAUGGCAAAUACUAGAUUCACACUAACCUUUUAAAAAUUUUGACAUAGUUUCAGACUUACAGAUAAAUUAUAAUAUAAAGAAUUCAGGGUGCUCUAUACUCAGAUUCCCAAAAAUGUUAAUGUCUUAUUACAUUUGCUUUGCCUUUUUGUUGUUGUUGUUAAUCCUCACGGGAGGAUAUUUUUUUCCAUUGAGAGAGGAUGGAAGGGAGGGAGAGAGAGAGAAAUAUCGAUUGGUUGCCUCCUGCAUGCGCCCUGACUGGGGCUGGAAGAGCAAACCUGCAACCCAACUACAUGCCCUUGGCCGGGAAUCAAACCCAAGACCCUUCCAUUCACAGGCUGAUGCUCUAACCACUGACUCGUGCUGGCAGAGCGCUUUGCCUUUUCUUCACCUCUGUGUGUGUAUCUGUGUCUCUGUCUGUCUGUAUAUUUUCCUGAACUAAGAAGCAAGUUGCCUUUCUUUAAGACGCUCCCUUUAUUCUAAAUACUUCACUUGUUUUUCCCAAACACAAGGAAUUCUCUUACAUAACCACAGCACAGUGAUCAAAACCAGGCACUUAAUAUUGAUAUCAAUACUAUUGCCUAAUUUACUAACCUUAUUCAGAUUUCAUCAGUUGUCAAAUCUGUCCUUUAUGGCAAAAGAAAAGCCCAGAUGCCAUGUUGCAUUCAGUUGUCAUGUCCUUCCUUCGAUCUGGAACCAUUCCCCAGUAUUCCUUUGUGUUUCAGUGUAGAGACCUAGUUUCUUGUUUUUGUAUCUCACAGUAUUUACUAAGCAUUUUUCCAUAUUGGUAGAUAUUGAGAGCAGUGUAGCUCUCGCUGAGUGAAUGAGCCAGGACUCUGGGCUCUGUCUGCCUGUUUCAAAUCCAGCUUUCACUACUCAAUUCCUGUGUUCUCGCUCUCUCUUUUCUUUUAAUCCUCACCUGAGGAUAUGCUUCUUGAUUUGAGAGAGAGAGAGAGAGAGAUAUGAGAGAGAACAUUGGUUGGUUGCUUCUUGUAUGCAAGAAGGCUCGAACCCACAAUCUAGGUAUGUGCCCUGACUAGGAAUCAGAUUCGCAACCUUUUGGAGUAUGGGAUGAUGCUACAACCAACUGAGCCACACUGGCCAAGGCAAAACCUAUUAAACAAGUUUUGUCCUCUUAAACAAGUUUUCUUACCUGUGAAAUGGGAAUACCAAUACUAUAACCGUAUGGGUGGUGAUAAUUAAAGGAAUGCAUAUGUGCUCAUUACUGGUACAGUGCCUGGCACAGAGUAAGCGCUCAGAAAGUGCUAGCCGUUCUCACGCCUAAGUGACACUCACAAGGGCCAUCUGCAGGUGUGUUCGCAGUAGCCGUCGUGGCUCUGUUCUCUCCUACCUUUUUCUUCAUAUCUGUCUAGGUUCAGAGAGCAAACUGGGCCGGCUUACUCAGCUGCAGGAUGGUUUAGUUGGAAAAACUGCCCUAAAGAGUGGCUCCCAAGUGCUCCCAAGUUCUUGAGCUCCUGUUGGUUGGUGACGGUUUCACUGGUCUGAGAGUAAGAACAGUGAGGAGACUUUUGAUAGAUGCCAAAUGUUUUAUUAUGACAUUACAUAUUUCUAUCUUUGGUAUUAAAAUGUUCUUUUAAAAAUGAUAUUUAUAAAAAAGUGAUAUUUAUAAAGAUGGUUGUCUUGUCAUUAUUGUAUUUUAAUGUAUUUAGUAGAUCAGAAAACCAACAAGGUAAACCUGUUAACCUCCAAAAUAUUUUUGGAGAUUUUACUGGUCCAUGACAAGCCAGUGAUCUGGGAAUUACUGCUCUAAACUAUGUGUUUGGCAUUGGGUUAUAUAUGAGCACCUGUAAACAGUAUUUCUAUCUGAAAUUCAUUCAUUUAGUCAUGGAUUGAAUGAACAUUUAUUAUUUAUUGACUCCCUCCUGAAUGCCGGACACUGUACCAGAUGCUUUACACGUCUCAUUUCAUCUUCGGAAUUAGCCGUGUGCCGUGUGUUCUCCCUGCUUCCGGCAAGGAGAGGGAAUCUCAGCUGGUAGAGCUCACCCCAAGUUAUGAAGCUGGGAGUGGCGUGGCCGCAGUUAGAACAGCUCUCCCUGCUGACAGAGGCCAUGUUUGCUCUUUUCUGUUCAGUGGUUCACAGCUGUGUGCUUCGGGUCUGGGGAAUUUUAGCAUAGCUUUCGUAGAUCCACAAGUUCAUGGGUCUCCUUUCAAUCUAGGUAUGUUGAAGGUACAAUUAUAUGUAGGUGCCUUUUU
Long non-coding RNA from Myotis daubentonii (Daubenton's bat), 10627 nucleotides. RefSeq lists it as uncharacterized. The record is from RefSeq and is a predicted model, not a curated record. The transcript is spliced from 2 exons. Lineage: Eukaryota; Metazoa; Chordata; Mammalia; Chiroptera; Vespertilionidae.